RNAcentral lists this ribosomal RNA (393 nucleotides) under uncultured bacterium. RNAcentral's name for it is "bacterial SSU rRNA". It matches the Rfam family "Bacterial small subunit ribosomal RNA", at positions 505 to 898 of the family's 1533-position model. The record is from RNAcentral.
GUGUCAGCCGCCGCGGUAAUACGUAGGCAGCAAACGUUGUUCGGAAUUACUGGGCGUAAAGAGUGUGUAGGCGGCUUUGUAAGUCUGGUGUGAAAUCUCCCGGCUUAACUGGGAGGGUGCGCUAGAAACUGCAAGGCUCGAGUAUCGGAGAGGAAAGCGGAAUUCCUGGUGUAGCGGUGAAAUGCGUAGAUAUCAGGAGGAACACCGGUGGUGUAGACGGCUUUCUGGACGAUCACUGACGCUGAGACACGAAAGCGUGGGGAGCAAACAGGAUUAGAUACCCUGGUAGUCCACGCCCUAAACGAUGCAUACUUGGUGUGAGUCCUUCAUUGGAUUCGUGCCGGAGCUAACGCGUUAAGUAUGCCGCCUGGGGAGUACGGUCGCAAGGCUGAA